RNAcentral lists this ribosomal RNA (405 nucleotides) under uncultured bacterium. Its description in RNAcentral is "partial 16S ribosomal RNA". It matches the Rfam family "Bacterial small subunit ribosomal RNA", at positions 28 to 526 of the family's 1533-position model. The record is from RNAcentral.
GAUGAACGCUGGCGGCGUGCCUAAUACAUGCAAGUCGAGCGAAGCGGGGGCGGGGGAGUAACACGUGGAUAACCACCCAUAAGACUGGGAUAACUUAGGGAAACCGGAGCUAAACCGGAUACUUAAAGCUGGAUCCUCGCUGCAUUAGCUAGUUGGUAAGGUAACGGCUUACCAAGGCAACGAUUCAUAGCCGACCUGAGAGGGUGAUCGGCCACACUGGAACUGAGACACGGUCCAGACUCCUACGGGAGGCAGCAGUAGGGAAUCUUCCGCAAUGGGCGAAAGCCUGACGGAGCAACGCCGCGUGAGUGAUGAAGGUCUUCGGAUCGUAAAACUCUGUUAUUAGGGAAGCGGUACCUAAUCAGAAAGCCACGGCUAACUACGUGCCAGCAGCCGCGGUAAUUC